UGCAUGUGGAGAGAAGAGAGAGCAUUUUUUGAAGAAAAGGAAAUCCAUUUAAGAAAUCUUUUUACCUACAAAACAAACCAUGAUGAUUCUAGAAAAAGCGAACACAAAAACCACACAAAAAAAAAAAAGUUACACGAGAAAAAUAUAACAAAGAAAAAAAAAAUAGUAAAAAAUUCAACCAGGAAGCACAGCAAGGAAUGUAAGGAUCAAACAAAAGACAGAAAAGCAAACAAGAGAAUUUUCGUCGUUGUCGUCGUCCUGUGCCAAACCAAACGAAGGCACAGUGCGAUACAUAAAUAAUGCUACCAUCUCUAACCAUAUCUUUGCUACAUCGCUUCAUCUUCAUCCUCGUCCAUCCACAUUUAUACCAAUUCACACAGAGUUUGGGCAGCAUGGAUAUGCAUGCAGGCAGACAAACCAACAUACCACCAGCCACGGACGGACGAGAUGGUCCAAUGAACAGACAAACUGAUACAGGGGCGGUCUGUUCGUUUUAGC
Episyrphus balteatus (marmalade hoverfly) is the source of this 498-nucleotide long non-coding RNA. RefSeq lists it as uncharacterized. The record is from RefSeq and is a predicted model, not a curated record. The transcript is spliced from 3 exons. NCBI's taxonomy places the organism in Eukaryota, Metazoa, Arthropoda, Insecta, Diptera, Syrphidae.